Drosophila yakuba is the source of this 1231-nucleotide long non-coding RNA. RefSeq lists it as uncharacterized. The record is from RefSeq and is a predicted model, not a curated record. The transcript is spliced from 2 exons. Lineage: Eukaryota; Metazoa; Arthropoda; Insecta; Diptera; Drosophilidae.
AAACAAGAAGAGCCCACCGCCAGGCACAUUUCUUUGGCUUUGUUUUUGCCACAUUUCGUUUUCACUUUGCGGCAAGGGUUCUCUACGUUAUUUCUCUAAUUCUCUGGUCACCUUAUGCGACAGCGAGAGAGCGAGAAAGCCGCUCGUGACGCCAGCAAAACGCGUCAAAGAGGCCUCAUCUGUCUCUGUUCUGUCUGUGUCUAUGCCUAUGUUCACCGCAUAUAUAUCACCGCCCCUCCUCCGCCCCUUAACAAAAACAAACGUUCCAACACCCGAAAAUAAACGACAAUUGUUUAAUGCACUUUGACACAGUUUAAAUUCGUAGGAAAAUUACCUAAACAGACGCGAGUGCCAAAACAUGCAAAUGGACGAAUAAAAGAUACCUUUUAAAUAUUAAGACAUAUAAGGAGCUCAAAAAAGGAUUACCGAUAGCUUUUACACAAUUUAGAAAAACUUAAAACCUCGUUCUGUAAUUAUUUUUCAUUGUUAGUUUAAUAUGUUUUCGUGUUGUGUCAGCACACCCAUAAAUACUCUUGUUAUCAUUUCAAAUGAUCAAGUAAACGAUUCUGUUAUUGCUCAACUUGCGUGGAUCUGAGAUACAGCCUAAAGUGGAAAAUUGCAGCCCGAAGGGUGCGAGAAAGCAGCCAGCUGAGAAAAUUACGCAUACGCCCCGUUACCCCGUUGCCAGAUGCCAAGGUGCACUGUUUUAGGGGAAAAGGAAAACGGGAAAGAUAGAAAUGCUCUACCUAUGAGAGAAUUGCUUUCAAAAACAAAUUGGCCACCGCAAUCUGGCUUCCGCAAAUGAUAGGCCUCAUUAUAGGCCCAAUUUACAUAAUACAUAAGCAGUGAUAAAUGGAGACGGCAAAUAGCACUGAUACGGGGACAUUGCGUGCCGCCUUGGAUCAGCGAUAGUUGUUGGGGAGUCCGCCAAAGGUCGCCUUACAUAAGUCGGCCGUUGAGUCGUAAGAAGCCAAUUAGGGUUCAAAAGGUGAAGGAGCCAAAGCCGACCGGCAGGAGACGUCAUCGCAAGUUCGGAUAAUAGCACCGACCACGCUGAAACGCACUGCAUAUAUAUUAUUAUAAUUAUUUAUUUGUUUACUGCUAGGCUUAUAUCAACAUCAAGAAAUGUCAAUGCUUCAUUACAAUACAUUCAAAUACUAAUUUGAAAUAAAACACAAGCUGCAAUGAUGAUGUACUACAAAGGUAGUAUAAGAUUCUGGGAAUCCCUUAA